This 500-nucleotide ribosomal RNA is filed under the name Pedioplanis laticeps. RNAcentral describes it as "partial 16S ribosomal RNA". It matches the Rfam family "Bacterial large subunit ribosomal RNA", at positions 1861 to 2618 of the family's 2925-position model. The record is from RNAcentral. Lineage: Eukaryota; Metazoa; Chordata; Lepidosauria; Squamata; Lacertidae.
GCCCAGUGAAUCUUUUAAACGGCCGCGGUAUCCUAACCGUGCAAAGGUAGCAUAAUCACUUGUCCUCCAAAUAAGGACUAGUAUGAAUGGUCAAAUGAGGACUAAACUGUCUCUUACAUUCAACCAAUAAAACUGAUCUUUCAGUCAAAAAGCUGAAAUAAAAACAUAAGACGAGAAGACCCUGUGGAGCUUAAAACCAAACCCAACCAUAUGAUCAUUUGGUUUUUAGUUGGGGCGACUUCGGAGCACAAAAAACCCUCCGACAAAAUUUUAUUAAGAUCAACACAUCAAGGUAAUUAUUUAGACCCAGUAUACCUCCAUAUAUCUGACUAACGAACCAAGUUACCCCAGGGAUAACAGCGCCAUCCCCUUCUAGAGUCCCUAUCGACAAGGGGGUUUACGACCUCGAUGUUGGAUCAGGACACCCCAAUAGUGCAGCCGCUAUUAAAGGUUCGUUUGUUCAACGAUUAAAGUCCUACGUGAUCUGAGGUUUCAGACCG